RNAcentral lists this ribosomal RNA (253 nucleotides) under uncultured bacterium. RNAcentral's name for it is "partial 16S ribosomal RNA". It matches the Rfam family "Bacterial small subunit ribosomal RNA", at positions 524 to 776 of the family's 1533-position model. The record is from RNAcentral.
UACGAAGGGGGCUAGCGUUGCUCGGAAUUACUGGGCGUAAAGGGCUCGUAGGCGGCCAACUAAGUCGGAUGUGAAAUCCCCAGGCUUAACCUGGGAACUGCAUCCGAUACUGGAUGGCUUGAAUUCGGGAGAGGGAUGCAGAAUUCCAGGUGUAGCGGUGAAAUGCGUAGAUAUCUGGAGGAAUACCGGUGGCGAAGGCGGCAUCCUGGACCGAGAUUGACGCUGAUGAGCGAAAGCUAGGGGAGCAAACGGG